Long non-coding RNA from Carassius gibelio (silver crucian carp), 332 nucleotides. RefSeq lists it as uncharacterized. The transcript is spliced from 2 exons. The record is from RefSeq and is a predicted model, not a curated record. Lineage: Eukaryota; Metazoa; Chordata; Actinopteri; Cypriniformes; Cyprinidae.
CGUUGAUGUAGAUUUUGGUGCCGUUGCUGAAUUUUUGUGGUUCACUAGUUUUGACACAAUAAUAAACUCCUAAUUCAUCAGCGCUGAUAUUUCUGAUGAACAAACUGCUGUUAGUUUUCACUGAGUAUUUCUCUUCCAAGAUGCUGUUUUCAUAUUCAGCUCCUUCAGAUAUGCUAUCAAAAGUGCGUAAGAUCAACUCUGGAGGAUCUGGUGAUUUCUGUCUGUACCAGUAAAUCUCCUCUAUAUCAAGAUCACAGUUUAUAAUCACAUUGGAUCCUAAAGUUACUGAUGUGUUUGUUAAACUCUCAGCAGCUCGAGACCACAUCAACAGA